CGGCAAGUUGAAGGUUGUGAGUUCGUGCAUCACCCGGGCACAUCAAAAAUUUUUAUUUCAAAUCCAAUUCGAUUCUAGUAUCUCUAAGCUGAAAAUUUAAAGAAUUCGUCGCGGAAUAUAGCGUUUCUCUAGAAAAAAGAAAAUCUUUU
Long non-coding RNA from Bradysia coprophila, 149 nucleotides. The record is from RefSeq and is a predicted model, not a curated record. Lineage: Eukaryota; Metazoa; Arthropoda; Insecta; Diptera; Sciaridae.